RNAcentral lists this ribosomal RNA (253 nucleotides) under uncultured bacterium. RNAcentral's name for it is "partial 16S ribosomal RNA". It matches the Rfam family "Bacterial small subunit ribosomal RNA", at positions 524 to 776 of the family's 1533-position model. The record is from RNAcentral.
GACAGAGGGUGCAAACGUUGUUCGGAAUUACUGGGCGUAAAGCGUGUGUAGGCGGCUAAGAAAGUCGGAUGUGAAAGCCCUGGGCUCAACCCAGGAAGUGCACCCGAUACUGCUUAGCUAGAGUAUCGGAGAGGUUGGUGGAAUUCUCGGUGUAGAGGUGAAAUUCGUAGAUAUCGGGAAGAACACCGGUGGCGAAGGCGGCGACCUGGUCCUUGACUGACGCUGAGGCGCGAAAGCGUGGGGAGCAAACAGG